This 84-nucleotide microRNA precursor is filed under the name Triticum aestivum (bread wheat). RNAcentral's name for it is "mir-395 microRNA precursor family". It matches the Rfam family "mir-395 microRNA precursor family". From Rfam's summary of the family: mir-395 was identified in both Arabidopsis thaliana and Oryza sativa computationally and was later experimentally verified. mir-395 is thought to target mRNAs coding for ATP sulphurylases. The mature sequence is excised from the 3' arm of the hairpin. The record is from Rfam by way of RNAcentral. Lineage: Eukaryota; Viridiplantae; Streptophyta; Magnoliopsida; Poales; Poaceae.
GUUUUACCGAGUUCCCUACAAGCACUUCACAAGGCAUUUUACCAAAUGCUAUUGUGAAGUGUUUGGGGGAACUCUCGGUGCCAC